RNAcentral lists this transfer RNA (64 nucleotides) under Sinodendron cylindricum. Its description in RNAcentral is "tRNA-Ile". Lineage: Eukaryota; Metazoa; Arthropoda; Insecta; Coleoptera; Lucanidae. The record is from RNAcentral.
AAUGAAGUGCCUGAUAAAAGGAUUAUUUUGAUAGAAUAAAUCAUGCAUUCCAAUGCCUUCAUUA